Molecule: long non-coding RNA, 3343 nt
Organism: Oncorhynchus keta (chum salmon)
Lineage: Eukaryota; Metazoa; Chordata; Actinopteri; Salmoniformes; Salmonidae
Exons: 2
Source: RefSeq, a predicted model, not a curated record
UUAUUUGGGACAGAGUGUUUUUCAUUUUUAUUGUCUUGUGUUGAAGGUGAUCCACAUUUAAAGAAUCUAUGAGCUCUCUGUGGUGUCAACCUUGGUGCCAGAUCAGAACUAAUUAGUGUGUAUAUAUCUGCGAUUCAAAGGGACUGAUAAUAAUUGUUGGGGUAUUUUCAACUUGAGUUGUUUAUUGAAACUGAAUUGCAGGGUUGCAAACUAGUCACCUUUAGACGAAAUUCAUAAUUUUGAAUCCAAAAUAAGUAACCUAGGUAAUUUGUGUAGAUCCGACGAGAACUUUUGGGGGGCUUUGGAUCACUACUGACCGUAAGGGGACGAGUGAUGCGCGUUUGGAGCAAUACUGGCUGUAUCCAAGGCUCAGCCAAUCAUUCACAUAACAACAGAAUAUGGGGGGUGAUAAGGGACAUAUAUAAGCCUAGGCAACCGUACCACCUGACAUGAUACCAAUGCCUUUACUAACGUCUGCGUGACGCCUGCCUCGCGUGUUAAUGAAAGUCAUAAUGUGCAUAGUUUAUAUGAAUUAAAUCUCAACCAUAAGUGUUAGAAACGUACAGUUUUUCCCAUGCAAGCAGACAUUCCGACGCCACCUUGAGCUAUAGUGUAGUUAUAGUAUAGUUUUCCCUCAGCACCUCAUGGCAUGGUAUGUUAUCUCACUGUAUACAGAUCUAAAUGCUGUUAGCCAAUCACAGACUGUGUUCCACAUCAGACAAUCAAUAAGAGUUGUGUCCAUGGCUUUCAGAGGAGUUCAUAGUUUCUAUUUGGGAUCCUUGGGAUGUCCUGCUGUUAGGGAUCCUUGGGAUGUCUCUUCCGUCGAAUAGAGCAGUUCAUAGACUUUCCCAGAGGGUCCGUGCUAUUCGGGGUCUUUGGGAUGUCCACAACGCUAUCAAGUAUAAAUGUAUAAAAUGGUUAGGCUUAGUGUUAGUUUAGGGUAAGGACGUCCCAAGGAAUAUGGAUUGCAGUGACCGUUCAUAGAGUUAGAGACUGGCACGGUAUUUGAGAGCUCCGUGGCGACACAGACGUUCAUUAAAAAAAAUAUAUGUUUUAACUUGCGGCAGAAGCAAUUUUCGAGUGUCUGCCCCAGAUAGUUUCCUUUUUUCGAGACGGUGAAAAGAAUUACCAAGAUGGCCUUGAUCCAAUUGAGGAUCAAGAUGUGACGAGCCAGAGCAACCAAUCAGCUUCACUGCAGCUGCUCAACCCACCACCCUCACUGUUUUCCCUCCACAAGUAACCACAUCCUCUUCUCCUGUUCAACUACUUUGCCACCACACCAAAAAUGACUGUACAUAUACCCCUGUGCCAUCUCAGUGGAAGAUGAUCCACCCAAGGCCUCAGCUGAAUGCCUUUAAUGUGAGAAAUAUAAUCAAGAUUCCAUAGUGUGUGUGUGUGUGUGUGUGUGUGUGUGUGUGUGUGUGUGUGUGUGUGUGUGUGUGUGUGUGUGUGUGUGUGUGUGUGUGUGUGUGUGUGUGUGUGUGUGUGUGUGUGUGUGUGUGUGUAGUUCCAAGUAAAGACUUGAGAAGAGGGCAAAAGGAGAUAGUGAGAGCAUACAGUAUGAAAAUAAAGACCCCUUGGGAUCUAAAAUAAGUUGUGGGGUGCCUCUUGUCUCCAUUAAUGUCCGUUUGAGGAUACUACGGUCACCCCUGUUGGAUGUUCUUGGAACACUGCAGUUUAAGUCUGAGCAGAGGUUGACGAAAACCUUCAAAGGUGGUGGUGCUAUGUUGCAUGUUAUAUUGAGUACCAGGCAGAUGUUUGAGUACAGAAUCAAAUGGUGUAAACUUAACAGGCUAAACUCGUUGAGGACACUCUUUGAGAAAGGAGUUCCGACAGGGUUCUUUGGCUGUCACCAAAAGAUAACUUUUUGGUUCCAUGUAGAACCCUCUGUGGAAUGGAGCCCAAAAGGGUUCCACCUAGACACAGAAGGGGUUCUACCUGGAACCAAAAAGGGGUCUCCUAUGGGGACAGCGGAAGAAUCCUGUUAGUUUGUAGAAAGCACCUUUUUAUCUGAGUGUAGGCCUAUAUUUCAGUCGUGGUUCCAUGGAUAUCCGUGAAAAAUAACCUUCAUUGGUAGUGAGUUAAUCAUUAAUACUAUGAAACCUUCCCAUUUAGAACACAUUUGCAAGCAGACAAAGUAACCUAUCCUAUGCUGAGGCAUAUGUGAUCACUCAACAUUGACAGGACCAACAUAAAACAUAUGCUUGGGACUCCUGAGUGGCGCAGCGGUCUAAGGCACUUACAUCCCAGUGGCAUCACUACAGACCCUAGUUGGUUUCCAGGGUGUAUCACAACCGGCUGGGUGACCGGGUGUCCCAUAGGGCGGCACAUAAUUGGCCCAGUGUCAUCUAGGUUAGGGUUUGGCCGGGGUAGGUCGUCAUUGUAAACAAGGAUUUGUUCUUAACUGGCGUGCGUAGUUAAAUAAAGGUUCAAUAAAACAACAUAUAAAAACAUGCAAACAAAAGAUGACGUGUCUAUCUUGCACCGUUAUGCAAUUAUUAGGAGACGAGAUACGUUGCUACAUUGCCCCCCCCCCCCCAUUUGUUUUGUACAAUGCUGCUACUCGCUGUUUAUUAUCUAUAUCUAUGCAUAGUCACUUCACCCCUAUCUACAUGUACAAAUGACCUCAACUAACCUGUACCCCUGCACAAUGACUCGCUAACCUGUACCCCCUGUAUAUAGCAUCGUUAUUGUUAUGUUAGUUUAAAAAAUAUAUAUAUUUUUUUUAAUUUUUACUUUAUUUUGUAAAUAUUCUCUUUAUCUUCUUGAACUGCACUGUUGGUUAAGGGCUUGUAAAGUAAGCAUUUUACGGAAAAGUCUAGACUUGUUGUAUUCGGCGCAUGUGACAAAGUUUGAUUUGAAAUAGAUAAUCCUGGCUACCAAUGUUCAAGUAUUAAUUUAUUGAGGCAUUCAAUCAGAGAUGUCAAGGUGGUCCUCAAGCAUAUGCCAUGUGUAUGUAACACACACAUGUAUGGUCAUAUUUUUAGUUUUGUAUAUUUUGCCUCCGAGGUAUUUGCAUUUAACGUAUGUAUAUAAUUACUGCCGCUAGGGGGAGCUGUAUCAUCAAUGAAGUUUUUUUUUAAGCGUUUAAACAAAUAUAUAUUAACAGUAACAUGCAAAACAACAGCCAGAGGUAUUCCACAAAGAAAUGUUUAAAAAAUCAAAACUAAUCCACAUUAUAUCAAUUCAAAUACAGACAUGUAGCGAAUACAUUUUUUAAAACAUUUUGUUUUGUAUACGUUUUAAUGACUCUAAAAAAUUAAGAAAAGGGCCUUUUUCUUCAUAAAUUUUUAUUUGUGUGUGAUGUUUUUUUUCCCAAUAAAAUAAAGAGAUUCAUGACAUA